AGGAUACCGUGCGCUUGUUGCUCUUCUCGGGAUUCAGCUACAACCUUAUAAAAAAACAUUUCACUAAGAUGGAAAAGGCAGCAAGCAGAAACAGGCAUUUCUUUCUCUUUUACUUCCUCUCCCUGCAAACUUUUCUUUCUUUUCCCACAGUUUUUGUCUCCCCCAGCACCACCUCCUCCUGUUGGAAAUUACCUUUAAGACAAAGAGGCUAUGUGUUGCGACAUGGCAUGCUUACUGUACCACGUGCCUGUUGGGAUUUUCAGAACACAACCUUCCAGGCAUGGCUGCACAGCACUGAAUAGUGAUGGAUAGUUUCUGCAAGGAUUCAGAAGCUAAACGGAGAGCACAGAAGAUAAAGAAAAUACCUCCUAUUUUGUCAAGGCCAAAUCAGCCAAGGUGAUAUUCUGACAUUUUUAAAACAACUUAACAAAAAGCAUGUGGGACUGUGCCAAUAACCAGGAAAAUAAUGACACCUGUGAUGAAAUUCCCAAGCAUUUCUGAAUGAAAUAAUUACAUUUCAAGUCACAGACCAAGAGGUAGAGUCCCUGGUCCGAAUUUCCCUCACGUGACCACAGGCCCUGCAAAACAGCAGAAUACUUUCCAUGCAGUCCUGACACUCUGGGGAUUAGGGAAGGUAAUUCUACAAAGACCAGGCCUUGCGCUCUCCUCCUCAUCCUUCACUGACUGAUAUGUAGGGGAAGUGAGACCCUGACCUACUCGUGACUGGCGGAAAUUGCUCUGACCUCUCAGCAAUUUUGGGAGGAAGCCAGACCUGGCACAUUGCUGCACUGGCGCUGUGGCAGUCUCUUCUGACCCCGAGGACCUUUGGCUGGCCCACCCCCUUUAGCCAUUUACACUCACACACACACACACACACACACACACACACACACACACACACACACACACACACACACACACACACACACAGCUCCUGCUAGAUGGAUUGGGUUACCUCUUAGAGGCAAUGGCUGCCUCUGUUUUGCAUCCUCUCCUCUAUUUUGGUCCCGGGAGCCGGGGAGUGCCCCAGUCAUUAACACCAGCAGCCCGCCUGUACAGUCAGCUAAAAGGUCUGCAUUCAUGAGGGACAUCCUGCAAACCAGAUGUGCUUUUGUGGCAAGAAUAUGUGUGCAUGCAAAGGCCCUGGAAUCAAAUGCAUCCUGGAGCAAAGGAUCAAGCCCUGCAUGUGUGUGCCCGAGCCCUCAGGGUCCAAGCGGUGCACAGGUCAUGAAAGAUAAAGUGAAGGUUGUUCAGGGAGGGGGUCUCCCGUAUGCAGACACACUUAGUAAAAAAAAUAAAAAUGCCAUUAUUGUUUAAUAUGACAGAUAAUUGUUCUUGAAACGAACAUUUCAGGACCAGAUAUUUGUAAAUGUUUAAGUACACAGAUUCUAUUCCGACUCUCUAGGGAAUUGUCCAAAUUGCACACUGUGAUCAGUCACUCUUGCAAACUUGUAUUAAUGUCACCUACUAAAAAAGGUCACUAGAAAGGACUUUAACGAAUCAAUUAAUGACAGGUAUGUGGGUUUACUUUUUCAGGACUGACAGUGUGUUUCAAAACUCCAGCAAGUAACACCCCAACAUUGACAUGAUAGCAAAAAUGAAUAUAUAUAUAUAUAUAUAUAUAUAUAUAUAUAUAUAUACAAAUAUUUAUAGAUUUAUAAAUAAACUUGCCUAACAUUAACAUAACUGACAGGUAAUGCGUGCAACACUGCUCAUCUUGGUACAACAGUGUUAUACUGGCAAAAACCUGCAUUGACAUGGUUGUUACUUUGACACUAGCCUUCUACUUAUACAUUUUUGAAGACCAAUUACACUUUGCACAUGGCAACAGCAUUCCCCUGCAGUAGCACCUCCAGUUGCUUCUACCCCUUUCCAGAGGGACAACAUUGGACUUAUCCUGGAAUAGCAAGCUGGUGCCAUCUGUGAGAAGACAUGACAUAUCCCCAGAGAACCCAUCCAAUAAUUCAGAGGAACCAAAGAAUCUAUUGCUAACAUCCUUGGGCAAGACACCCUUGGAUGUUCUUUGUCCAUACAAUGCCGUGUUUAUAUGCCUUGAACUUAGAGCCACAAACUUUCAGGUAUUUUGGAGUGCUUUUACAUGACAGAGAAACAUAAAGUAGUGCAUGGUUUUGAAGUGAAAGGAAGAAGACACAUGGUUUUCAAGUAAAUUUGUGAAAAAGUGUGGCAUGUAUUUGUAUUCAUCCCCACUGAGCCAUUACUUUGUUAAAGCAGUUUCGGAGCAUUUCUCUACAGUCUUUGCAAAUCUAGAGUUAAAACUCUCAGCCCAUCCCUCUUUGCAACAAUAGCUCAAGCUCAGUCAGAUUCAAUUGAGAGCAUGUGAAUAGAUUCUCAUUUCCAAAAGUUGCCACAGAUUCUUAGAUUUACGUUUUGACUUUCAGCCAUUCUGACUCAUGAAUGUUUUAAACUAAACCAUUCCAGUGUAGAUUUGGUGUCUGUUCAUGCUGCUGGUGGUGUUGGGUACUCAAGACCGGUUUUGAGACCACAUGUUCAAAGUUAAUUUUUUGUCAAGGUCAGUAAAGAACACAAUUAAAGCAUCCUUUUUAUGCUGCAAGUUAGUCUGAGAUUUUGAAUAUUAUGAAUAUAUUUGAAAAUAUUUUUGACUCCAAAUUUUAAAUGCUGCCCCAUGUGCCAAGGAUAAGAUGAGGGAAAUGUGUAAACAAGAGGGAAAAACAUUUUCCUGUGCAAAUAUAUGGAUGUUUUUCUGUCUGUGUUCAAGCUUCCUCUACACCUGUCAUCGCCACUCACUCUGCCUGCAGCUAAUGCUAAGUCAGUUAAUGUUUAGCUGAAUGUAGGCACAGUCUGCUUUGUUUGUUCGACUUUUUACCAGCUUGUCAGGUUUAUUGGACAAGGGGCAUGCAGCUGAGGGCCUGAUUACAUAGACGUUUGGGUUUACCUAAAUGGUUUGGCAGUGCUCCGAACUGAAAAAUUUAGGUGCACCAGUGCAACCAGUUAGUCUGAAGCCAACAGCCAAUUCAGUCAACUUUCACUAUAUUCUAUUUGUGUGGCAGCCAUAUUGAAUAUAAAACUCUGGUUUGAAUCAUAAAAGCUCCAUUUUGGUCUUCUCUGGCCAGCGCACUUUCUUCUAUAUGUCUGGUGUGACAAUUCUUGCUCUCCAAAACUGCUCUUUAGAGAAACUCUCCAUCCAGUCUGACUGUCCAUAAAGACAUGCUGCUGUAAUUGUAGGAAUGGGUGGUCAUAUAAACUAUUGAAGCAGGGCUGAUGAAUACAUUUCUUUUUGUAAAAAAAGAAAAUAAUAUUCCUUCCACUUUACGAUGUGUGCUAUUUGUCUUGGUCUAUUGAAUAAAAUGACCAUAAAGUUUAUGAUUGUAUAUUGACAAAAAGGUGAAAAGUCUAAGAGGUAAUACUGCUGUAACGCACUAUAUUCGGACGGGUUGGAGAUGUUUUGGUGCCAAGAAGACUGUCGAUAUCACUGAGGUAAUUUUCACUGGCUAAUUUCAUACAUGGGAAUACUGCUGAAUGUAAGUUAUUAAACACAGCAGGAUACUGUGAAAUACUUUCAAGAUUGCUAAUAAAAGAGUUUUAAUUUGUGUCUCUAA
This is a long non-coding RNA of Girardinichthys multiradiatus, 3578 nucleotides long. RefSeq lists it as uncharacterized. NCBI's taxonomy places the organism in Eukaryota, Metazoa, Chordata, Actinopteri, Cyprinodontiformes, Goodeidae. The record is from RefSeq and is a predicted model, not a curated record. The transcript is spliced from 3 exons.